GACGAACGCUGGCGGCGUGCUUAACACAUGCAAGUCGAACGAUGAAGCUGGAGCUUGCUCCGGUGGAUUAGUGGCGAACGGGUGAGUAACACGUGAGCAAUCUGCCCUUGACUCUGGGAUAACUGCGGGAAACUGUAGCUAAUACCGGAUACUUUCACUGGAAGGCACCUUCUGGUGAAGAAAGAAUUUCGGUCAAGGAUGAGCUCGCGGCCUAUCAGCUUGUUGGUGAGGUAACGGCUCACCAAGGCGACGACGGGUAGCCGGCCUGAGAGGGUGACCGGCCACACUGGGACUGAGACACUGCCCGGACUCCUACGGGAGGCAGCAGUGGGGAAUAUUGCACAAUGGGCGCAAGCCUGAUGCAGCAACGCCGCGUGAGGGAUGAAGGCCUUCGGGUUGUAAACCUCUUUUAGCAGGGAAGAAGCGAAAGUGACGGUACCUGCAGAAAAAGCACCGGCUAACUACGUGCCAGCAGCCGCCGUAA
This 484-nucleotide ribosomal RNA is filed under the name uncultured bacterium. RNAcentral describes it as "partial 16S ribosomal RNA". It matches the Rfam family "Bacterial small subunit ribosomal RNA", at positions 28 to 523 of the family's 1533-position model. The record is from RNAcentral.